RNAcentral lists this ribosomal RNA (403 nucleotides) under bacterium. RNAcentral's name for it is "partial 16S ribosomal RNA". It matches the Rfam family "Bacterial small subunit ribosomal RNA", at positions 355 to 776 of the family's 1533-position model. The record is from RNAcentral.
UGGGGAAUAUUGCACAAUGGAGGGAACUCUGAUGCAGCGACGCCGCGUGAACGAAGAAGGCUUUCGAGUCGUAAAGUUCUUUUAUAUGGGAAGAUAAUGACGGUACCAUAAGAAGAAGCCCCGGCUAACUACGUGCCAGCAGCCGCGGUAAUACGUAGGGGGCUAGCGUUGUCCGGAAUCACUGGGCGUAAAGGGUUCGCAGGCGGAAAUGCAAGUCAGGUGUAAAAGGCAGUAGCUUAACUACUGUAAGCAUUUGAAACUGCAUAUCUUGAGAAGAGUAGAGGUAAGUGGAAUUUUUAGUGUAGCGGUGAAAUGCGUAGAGAUUAAAAAGAAUACCGGUGGCGAAGGCGACUUACUGGGCUCAUUCUGACGCUGAGGAACGAAAGCGUGGGUAGCAAACAGG